UAACAAUCAAUUAUGAUAAAAAGAGAUAAAUGUAACUCUUGCCGAAAACCUGCUUUGCGGCAGAGCGAGAAGAGAUCCUUACAAUUCCAAUUGAACGAGUGUGUGUGCAUCGGUCGUAAAGUAUAUUUUCCUUCUCAACGAAUUUUAAAUUUAUUAUGAGAAUCUCGGUCACCUUUAUGGCCGAUUCCCGGUCGGCGCGUCGCGUCGUUUGGUGUUGGUGGGUGACUCUCUGUCUGGCAGGCAGACCACUCGAAGUGUGGUAGUAAAACUCUCUGCGUUGAGUAAAAUACGACCAUGCGGAAAGCCUGAGCGGAACAGUUGUAUCAUAACUCAGCCUCGAAGAUGAACCAGAACCAGACAAGCGACGACGACGGACGAGCCUAAAACCAACCAAACCUGAAAUACGAGCGGGUAUCGGUAUCUGCUCACGUGCGCCGCGGCAGCCUCUCGGCCGCCGUCGCAGCUUCCACUACCGUUCGACGGGGUUCAGAUCCGGAAUGGACCGUGAAAUAGGAUACGAUGCGUCUCACCAACACCAAGGCAAGCCGGGAUUUCGGUGCAAAAAAGACAACAAAUAGGAGGAGCAAAUCUCAUAAACCAUUCUAGGAGAAGUGAGUUUCGCUGGGUGUGCUGGGAGAAGAAAAAAAGGAAGAGAAAAAGUGCCUCCGGAAGAUGGAUGAUUCGUGCGAGUGAGAUAUUGUAUUUUUAUUUUGUAUCGUGUGGAACGACCUCGUAUAUAAAAUGGUUAUUUAUGGCCACAGCCGGAGUGCCACUGAGUGUUCCCGAACGAACGAAACCCGAAGUUCUUCAUGCGGGAGAGUGAGAGUGAGUACCUACAUAACUGUCGAUGGAGCGAAGCGGGUUGACUACCACGAUUCCGCAUAUUUCUUGCGGGAGUUGGAAGCUACCGACGACGACGCGGUUGAAGUCCGCCGUGCCUUCAAGGAGUGAUUUUUAUUGCGUGAGAGUGUGAAUUGGUAUAAGAAUGGAAAUAAAACGAUCAAAUAAAAAGUUAGUGAGCGAA
This is a long non-coding RNA of Aedes albopictus (Asian tiger mosquito), 1024 nucleotides long. RefSeq lists it as uncharacterized. NCBI's taxonomy places the organism in Eukaryota, Metazoa, Arthropoda, Insecta, Diptera, Culicidae. The record is from RefSeq and is a predicted model, not a curated record. The transcript has 2 exons.